CUCCUACGGGAGGCAGCAGUGGGGAAUCUUGCACAAUGGAGGAAACUCUGAUGCAGCGAUGCCGCGUGAGUGAAGAAGGCCCUUGGGUUGUAAAGCUCUUUCGUCGGGGAAGAAAAUGACUGUACCCGAAUAAGAAGGUCCGGCUAACUUCGUGCCAGCAGCCGCGGUAAUACGAAGGGACCUAGCGUAGUUCGGAAUUACUGGGCUUAAAGAGUUCGUAGGUGGUUGAAAAAGUUAGUGGUGAAAUCCCAGAGCUUAACUCUGGAACUGCCAUUAAAACUUUUCAGCUAGAGUAUGAUAGAGGAAAGCAGAAUUUCUAGUGUAGAGGUGAAAUUCGUAGAUAUUAGAAAGAAUACCAAUUGCGAAGGCAGCUUUCUGGAUCAUUACUGACACUGAGGAACGAAAGCAUGGGUAGCGAAGAGGAUUAGAUACCCUCGUAGUCCAUGCCGUAAACGAUGUGUGUUAGACGUUGGAAAUUUAUUUUCAGUGUCGCAGGGAAACCGAUAAACACACCGCCUGGGGAGUACGACCGCAAGGUUAAAACUCAAAUGAAUUGACGGGGACCCGCACAAGUAGUGGAGCAUGUGGUUUAAUUCGAAGAUACGCGCAGAACCUUACCAACACUUGACAUGUUCGUCGCGACUCUAAGAGAUUAGAGUUUUCGGUUCGGCCGGACGAAACACAGGUGCUGCAUGGCUGUCGUCAGCUCGUGUCGUGAGAUGUUGGGUUAAGUCCCGCAACGAGCGCAACCCUCACUUUUAGUUGCCAUCAUUAAGUUGGGCACUCUGAAAGAACUGCCAGUGAUAAGCUGGAGGAAGGUGGGGAUGACGUCAAGUCCUCAUGGCCCUUACGUGUUGGGCUACACACGUGCUACAAUGGCAUCUACAACAGGAAGCAAAACGGCAACGUUAAGCAAAUCCCGAAAAGAUGCCUCAGUUCGGAUUGCACUCUGCAACUCGAGUGCAUGAAGCUGGAAUUACUAGUAAUCGUGGAUC
Molecule: ribosomal RNA, 995 nt
Filed under: marine metagenome
Description: bacterial SSU rRNA
Rfam family: Bacterial small subunit ribosomal RNA
Source: RNAcentral